RNAcentral lists this ribosomal RNA (737 nucleotides) under Cosmocerca ornata. Its description in RNAcentral is "partial large subunit ribosomal RNA". It matches the Rfam family "Eukaryotic large subunit ribosomal RNA", at positions 69 to 647 of the family's 3401-position model. The record is from RNAcentral. Lineage: Eukaryota; Metazoa; Nematoda; Chromadorea; Rhabditida; Cosmocercidae.
CGAGGAUUCCCCUAGUAACGGCGAGUGAACGGGGAAGAGCCCAGCGCUGAAUCCUUUAGUCUUUGACUAUCAGGAAAUGUAGCGUAUAGGUGUAGGUGUUCGUGCAUUUUGCGCACCCAAAGUCCCCUUGAGCGGGGCUACAGUCCAUAGAAGGUGCUAGACCUGUACGGGUGGCGAGGUGUUCGAUAGCUUGCUCCUUGGAGUCGGGUUGCCUGAGAUCGCAGCCCAAAGAGGGUGGUAAACCUCAUCUAAGGCUAAAUAUGACCACGAGACCGAUAGCAAACAAGUACCGUGAGGGAAAGUUGCAAAGAACUUUGAAGAGAGAGUUCAAGAGGGCGUGAAACCGCUGAGAUGGAAACGGAUAGAGUUAACGAAACUCGGCGGCAUUCAACUGGUCAGCUUAGCGGCCUUGCGGUUUUGUGCCUCGAUGAGGACAGGGACGUGAGUGACUGUUGGGCAUCGGCUAGUGUAUUUGCCGUUGGUAUGCGCCGAGAGCCUCGGCUUCGUGCGUUGACACGUGUGUAGUGGACCACUCCUUCCGGGCGUGGAACCCUGCGUAUGUUGAGACACAUCGGGGCUGGGGUUUGAGUACCGUCUCCGCUUUGCGCAACGGUUGCUACGUGUUUGGCGUUGCUGUUGGACGGUCGCGUGCGACUUGUCUACAGUUGGCGUUGAUCCGCGGUGAUGCAGUUGCGUUGAGACGCUUAUCUCGGUGUGAAAGUUGACCACCUAUCCGA